Molecule: ribosomal RNA, 253 nt
Filed under: uncultured Rikenellaceae bacterium
Lineage: Bacteria; Pseudomonadati; Bacteroidota; Bacteroidia; Bacteroidales; Rikenellaceae
Description: partial 16S ribosomal RNA
Rfam family: Bacterial small subunit ribosomal RNA
Source: RNAcentral
UACGGAGGAUCCAAGCGUUAUCCGGAUUUAUUGGGUUUAAAGGGUGCGUAGGCGGUUUUAUAAGUUAGAGGUGAAAUCUCGGGGCUCAACUCCGAAAUUGCCUCUAAUACUGUAGGACUAGAGAGUAGUUGCGGUAGGCGGAAUGUAUGGUGUAGCGGUGAAAUGCAUAGAUAUCACACAGAACACCGAUUGCGAAGGCAUCUCACGAAUCCGCUAUUGACGCUGAUGCACGAAAGCGUGGGUAUCAAACAGG